RNAcentral lists this unclassified non-coding RNA (377 nucleotides) under uncultured Simkaniaceae bacterium. RNAcentral describes it as "contains 16S-23S intergenic spacer region". Lineage: Bacteria; Pseudomonadati; Chlamydiota; Chlamydiia; Parachlamydiales; Simkaniaceae. The record is from RNAcentral.
UCCUAGUUAACCUAGGCAGUCUCACUAGAGUCCCCAUCCGAAAUGUUGGCAACUAAUGAUAAGGGUUGCGCUCGUUGCGGGACUUAACCCAACACCUCACGGCACGAGCUGACGACAGCCAUGCAGCACCUAUGCAGCGGUCCUUGCGGACGUUAUCAUCUCUGAUAACUUCCCCUGCACUUCUAACCUGGGUAAGGUUCUUCGCGUUGCAUCGAAUUAAACCACAUGCUCCACUGCUUGUGCGGGCCCCCGUCAAUUCUUUUGAGUUUCACCCUUGCGAGCGUACUCCUCAGGCGGUAUACUUAACGCGUUAGCUCCGACACAGCCGGGGUUGAGCCCAGCUACACCAAGUAUACAUCGUUUACGGCAAGGACUAC